GGGAGGCAGCAGUGGGGAAUCUUGCGCAAUGGGGGAAACCCUGACGCAGCAACGCCGCGUGGGUGAUGAAGGCCUUCGGGUCGUAAAGCCCUGUCAGGUGGGAAGAAACCUGUGGAUGCUAAUAUCAUUCACAAUUGACGGUACCGCCGAAGGAAGCACCGGCUAACUCCGUGCCAGCAGCCGCGGUAAUACGGAGGGUGCGAGCGUUGUUCGGAAUUAUUGGGCGUAAAGCGCGUGUAGGUGGUCGGGUAAGUCAGAUGUGAAAGCCUUCUGCUUAACAGAAGAAGUGCAUUUGAAACUGCUCGGCUAGAGUACGGGAGAGGGGAGUGGAAUUCCCGGUGUAGAGGUGAAAUUCGUAGAUAUCGGGAGGAACACCAGUGGCGAAGGCGGCUCUCUGGUCCGAUACUGACGCUGAGACGCGAAAGCGUGGGGAGCAAACAGGAUUAGAUACCCCGGUAGU
This 460-nucleotide ribosomal RNA is filed under the name uncultured bacterium. RNAcentral's name for it is "bacterial SSU rRNA". It matches the Rfam family "Bacterial small subunit ribosomal RNA", at positions 343 to 794 of the family's 1533-position model. The record is from RNAcentral.